AUUGAACGCUGGCGGAAUGCUUUACACAUGCAAGUCGAACGGCAGCACGGGAGCAAUCCUGGUGGCGAGUGGCGAACGGGUGAGUAAUGUAUCGGAACGUACCUUUCAGUGGGGGAUAACGUAGCGAAAGUUACGCUAAUACCGCAUAUUCUGUGAGCAGGAAAGCAGGGGAUCGCAAGACCUUGCGCUGAUUGAGCGGCCGAUAUCAGAUUAGCUAGUUGGUGAGGUAAAGGCUCACCAAGGCGACGAUCUGUAGCGGGUCUGAGAGGAUGAUCCGCCACACUGGAACUGAGACACGGUCCAGACUCCUACGGGAGGCAGCAGCGGGGAAUUUUGGACAAUGGGCGCAAGCCUGAUCCAGCCAUGCCGCGUGAGUGAAGAAGG
RNAcentral lists this ribosomal RNA (384 nucleotides) under uncultured bacterium. RNAcentral describes it as "bacterial SSU rRNA". It matches the Rfam family "Bacterial small subunit ribosomal RNA", at positions 30 to 414 of the family's 1533-position model. The record is from RNAcentral.